CCUACGGGUGGCUGCAGUGGGGAAUAUUGGACAAUGGGCGAAAGCCUGAUCCAGCCAUGCCGCGUGUGUGAAGAAGGCCUUCGGGUUGUAAAGCACUUUCAGUGGGGAAGAAAGCCUUGGGGCUAAUACCCUCGAGGAAGGACAUCACCCACAGAAGAAGCACCGGCUAACUCCGUGCCAGCAGCCGCGGUAAUACGGAGGGUGCGAGCGUUAAUCGGAAUUACUGGGCGUAAAGCGCGCGUAGGCGGUCUGAUAAGCCGGUUGGGAAAGCCCCGGGCUCAACCUGGGAACGGCAUCCGGAACUGUCAGGCUAGAGUGCAGGAGAGGAAGGUAGAAUUCCCGGUGUAGCGGUGAAAUGCGUAGAGAUCGGGAGGAAUACCAGUGGCGAAGGCGGCCUUCUGGACUGACACUGACGCUGAGGUGCGAAAGCGUGGGUAGCAAACAGGAUUAGAUACCCUGGUAGUC
RNAcentral lists this ribosomal RNA (465 nucleotides) under Vreelandella stevensii. RNAcentral describes it as "partial 16S ribosomal RNA". It matches the Rfam family "Bacterial small subunit ribosomal RNA", at positions 338 to 795 of the family's 1533-position model. The record is from RNAcentral. Lineage: Bacteria; Pseudomonadati; Pseudomonadota; Gammaproteobacteria; Oceanospirillales; Halomonadaceae.